CGGGUAGGCGAUAAAGCCCUUCGGAUCCUAAAGCUGUGUGGGGAGAAACAAAACGCUUGGGAGCUAACACCUCUUACUGUAGAAAUACCCCCCGAAGAACUCACCGGCUAUAUCUGUGACAAUAGCCGAGAUAAUACGGAGGGUGCAAGCGUUGUUCGGAAUUAUUGGGCGUAAAGCGCGUGUAGGCGGUCUUUUAAGUCUCAUGU
Molecule: ribosomal RNA, 206 nt
Filed under: uncultured delta proteobacterium
Lineage: Bacteria; Deltaproteobacteria
Description: partial 16S ribosomal RNA
Rfam family: Bacterial small subunit ribosomal RNA
Source: RNAcentral